UGACAACAGAGUCAAAUACAACAGUGAAAU
This 30-nucleotide non-coding RNA is filed under the name Rattus norvegicus (Norway rat). Lineage: Eukaryota; Metazoa; Chordata; Mammalia; Rodentia; Muridae. The record is from RNAcentral.